This 1270-nucleotide long non-coding RNA is filed under the name Gallus gallus (chicken). RNAcentral describes it as "lncRNA (ENSGALG00010000676.1)". The record is from RNAcentral. Lineage: Eukaryota; Metazoa; Chordata; Aves; Galliformes; Phasianidae.
GGGUAGAAGGACCCCAAAGGUUUGAAGGAUCCCCAAAGAGUAGAAGGACUCCCCAAGGGUAGAAGGACCCCCAAAGGGUUGAGGGACCCUCAAAGGUUAGAAGGAUCCCCAAGGGUAGAAGGACCCCCAAAGGGUAGAAGGACCCCCAAAGGUAGAAGGAACCCCAAGGGUAGAAGGGCCCCUAAAGAGUAGAAGGACCCCCAAAGUGUAGAAGGACCCCCAAAAGGGUAGAAGGACCCCCAAGGUUAGAAGGACUCCCAAAGGGUAGAAGGACCUCCAGGGAAGAAGGACCCCCCAAGGACAGAAGGACCCCUAAGGGUAGAAAGACCCAGAAAGGGUAGAAGGACCCCCCAAAGGUAGAAGGACCCCCAAAGAGUAGAAGGACCCCCAAAGGGUAGAAGGACCCCUAAAGGGUAGAAACACCCUCAAGGGUAGAAGGACCCCCAAAGGGUUGAGGGACCCCCAAUAGUAGAAGGUCCCCCAAGGUCAGAAGGACCCCCAAAAGGUAGGAGAACUCCCCAAGGGUAGAAGGACCCCCAGUGGUAGAAAGACCCCCAAAGGGUAGAAGGAACCCCAAAGGUUAGAGGGACACCCAAAGGAUAGAAGGACCCCCAAUGGUAGAGGGACCCCCAAAGGGUUGAGGGACCCCCAAGGGGUAGAAGGACCCCCAAAGAGUAGAAAGACCCCCAAAGGGUAGAAGGACCCCCAAAAGGGUAGAAGGACCCCCAAAGGGUAGAAGGAGCCCGAAAGGAUAGAAGGACCCCCAAGGGUAGAAGGACCCCCAGUGGUAGAAAGACCCCCAAAGGGUAGAAGGACCCCCAAAGGUAGAAGGACCCCCAAAGGGUUGAGGGACCCCCAAAGGGUAGAAGGAGCCCGAAAGGGUAGAAGGACUCCCAAAGGUUAGAAGGUCCCCCAAAGGGUUGAGGGACCCCCAAAGGGUAGAAGGACCCCCAAGGUUAGAAGGACCCCCAAUGGUAGAGGGACCCCCAAAGUGUUGAGGGACCCCCAAGGGUAGAAGGACCCCUAAGGGUAGAAGGACCCCCAAAAGGGCAGAAGGACCCCCAAAGGGCAGAAGGACCCCCAAAGGUAGAGGGACCCCCAAGGUUAGAAGGACCCCCAAAAGAUAGAAGGACCCCCAGUAGUAGAAGGACCCCAAAAGGGUAGAAGGAUUUUGGGGUUAAAUGGGGGAUUUUCGAGGAGAAAAUGUAUGAUUUUGGGUUAAAUGGGGGAUUUUUGAAGGGAAAAUGGGUGAUUUUGGGGUUAAAUGGGG